RNAcentral lists this ribosomal RNA (475 nucleotides) under uncultured bacterium. RNAcentral describes it as "bacterial SSU rRNA". It matches the Rfam family "Bacterial small subunit ribosomal RNA", at positions 17 to 518 of the family's 1533-position model. The record is from RNAcentral.
UCCUGGCUUAGGAUGAACGCUGGCGGCGUGCCUAACACAUGCAAGUCGAGCGAUUCUCUUCGGAGAAGAGCGGCGGACGGGUGAGUAACGCGUGGGUAACCUGCCUCAUACACAUGGAUAACAUACCGAAAGGUAUGCUAAUACAAGAUAAUAUAAGAAAUUCACAUGGAUUUCUUAUCAAAGCUCCGGCGGUAUGAGAUGGACCCGCGUCUGAUUAGCUAGUUGGUAAGGUAACGGCUUACCAAGGCGACGAUCAGUAGCCGACCUGAGAGGGUGAUCGGCCACAUUGGAACUGAGACACGGUCCAAACUCCUACGGGAGGCAGCAGUGGGGAAUAUUGCACAAUGGGCGAAAGCCUGAUGCAAGCAACGCCGCGUGAGUGAUGAAGGCCUUCGGGUCGUAAAACUCUGUCCUCAAGGAAGAUAAUGACGGUACUUGAGGAGGAAGCCCCGGCUAACUACGUGCCAGCAGCAGC